GAAGAAGGAGAAAUUAUUGCUGGGAUUUCUGCUUCACUUUUCAAGUUGGCGGCCGAGUGACAUUGGUGCAAUUUUUGGAGGUGUUCUCACAAUCUAUAAGUUGGAUUGGGCUAAAAAUUCUUGAGCAUUUAAAAGACUUGCAUUGACAAUUGUAUGCAAAAUUCCACAUCAAGUGGAUGGUCGGAUUGGAUGUUACAACUUGUUAAAGCUCAUUGAUUAGGAUUGGGAUUUAUAAGAAAAAAAUCUAAAUUGCUUAAAUAUGAAUGUAAUAAGGUAAUUAGGAUUUAUGUAUGGUUAAGACUACUAAGAAGAGUGUUUUAAGCACUUUUGAAUUGAAAUUCAGAUUCUAUUCUUCUCGCAUAAGUAAAACCUAUUAGGGUUUUUUGGCUACUUAUGAAACACAAUCUCACCUUUCACAGCUAGGUGUCCGGUGCAUUCCUGAGCUAAACAACACGUUAUACGACAACGGGUACUUAUUCUUGAUGGUGAUUUUAUUGAAUCCUUGAUAAUCGACACACAUCUA
Molecule: long non-coding RNA, 523 nt
Filed under: Physcomitrium patens
Lineage: Eukaryota; Viridiplantae; Streptophyta; Bryopsida; Funariales; Funariaceae
Description: long non-coding RNA (PPAT_LNC010182)
Source: RNAcentral